GACGAACGCUGGCGGCGCGCCUAACACAUGCAAGUCGAACGAGAGAUGAGGAGCUUGCUCUUCAAAUCGAGUGGCGAACGGGUGAGUAACGCGUGAGGAACCUGCCUCAAAGAGGGGGACAACAGUUGGAAACGACUGCUAAUACCGCAUAAGCCCACGGCUCGGCAUCGAGCAGAGGGAAAAGGAGCAAUCCGCUUUGAGAUGGCCUCGCGUCCGAUUAGCUAGUUGGUGAGGUAACGGCCCACCAAGGCGACGAUCGGUAGCCGGACUGAGAGGUUGAACGGCCACAUUGGGACUGAGACACGGCCCAGACUCCUACGGGAGGCAGCAGUGGGGAAUAUUGCACAAUGGGGGAAACCCUGAUGCAGCGACGCCGCGUGGAGGAAGAAGGUCUUCGGAUUGUAAACUCCUGU
This 413-nucleotide ribosomal RNA is filed under the name uncultured bacterium. Its description in RNAcentral is "bacterial SSU rRNA". It matches the Rfam family "Bacterial small subunit ribosomal RNA", at positions 28 to 436 of the family's 1533-position model. The record is from RNAcentral.